AUGAUGGAAGCUGGGGUUCAUUUUGGCCAUGAGCCUAGGAAAUGGAAUCCUCGAAUGGCACCUUUUAUAUCGGGAAAACGUAAAGAUCUUGCAGAUAUUUCGAUUCCGACUAAUGAUGAAGCUAUAGCUUCCAUCGGAUUAAUUCUUAACAAAUUAGUUUUUGCAAUUUGUGAGGAUCGUUCUAGCUAUAUACAAAAAAAUUGA
Molecule: long non-coding RNA, 204 nt
Filed under: Vicia faba (fava bean)
Lineage: Eukaryota; Viridiplantae; Streptophyta; Magnoliopsida; Fabales; Fabaceae
Source: RNAcentral